UUUCCGUAAGUGAACCUGCGGAAGGAUCAUUCAUAAUAAAGUGUUUUAUGGCACUUUUUAAAAAUCCAUAUCCACCUUGUGUGCGAUGUUAGAUCUCGUCAAUCUUGGCGAGAUUUUUAUACAUCAACUCAUUCUUUAACUAAUUUGUCUGAAAGAUAUUAUGAAUACUUAAUUCAAAAUACAACUUUCAACAACGGAUCUCUUGGCUCUC
Molecule: unclassified non-coding RNA, 211 nt
Filed under: plant metagenome
Description: partial contains small subunit ribosomal RNA, internal transcribed spacer 1, and 5.8S ribosomal RNA
Source: RNAcentral